RNAcentral lists this ribosomal RNA (163 nucleotides) under uncultured bacterium. RNAcentral describes it as "partial 16S rRNA". It matches the Rfam family "Bacterial small subunit ribosomal RNA", at positions 355 to 510 of the family's 1533-position model. The record is from RNAcentral.
UAGGGAAUCUUCCACAAUGGACGCAAGUCUGAUGGAGCAACGCCGCGUGAGUGAAGAAGGUUUUCGGAUCGUAAAGCUCUGUUGUUGGUGAAGAAGGAUAGAGGUAGUAACUGGCCUUUAUUUGACGGUAAUCAACCAGAAAGUCACGGCUAACUACGUGCAA